AGAGUAAAUACCUAGAUUUGGAUUGCUGGGAUAUUUGAUGCAGUUGACCUUCCGGAUCCACAUAUACUAUGUUUGUAAUCCGUGGUUGGUUGAAUCUUCGGAUGGAGUCGACUAAAGGACUAGAGCGUCCGUGGAUUUUGGUAUCUGCAGGGGCGUCCUGGAACCAAUCCUCCACGGAGUUCUGCUGGAAGUUGAUUCUGCCAGUUUUUGCUCGGUUUUCAGUUUUUCUGUAGGAGAACAACAGCUUGGAGCUGCCUACUUCACCAUUUUGCUGACGUCCUUCCUCCAUCACUUCUUAUUGUCUCAAUAUGCUUUAUUCAUGUUUUUCAUUGAACUUACCAUGACCCUGACAUUAUAUUCUGGAUUUAUUUUUGGAUUUGUUGACUUAUUAUUUAUUCCCCUCACUAUGAUACUGUAGUAUCCUAGUCCAAAAGGACACUGUAGUAAACUUUUGAUGAACAAAAUAUAUUUGAUUUAAAGGUAUGUCCUUUAUUUAGUUGCUAAUUUGUGCAAAAAUUGUAAAAAAUUAUGUAAAAAUUGGGGAAAUUUAAAUACUGUUUGGAUAUUUGAUGAUAUUAAGAAAUUAUUGUUAAAAUUUUUAGAUAGUCUAUGGCAUUGUGGUUAUUAUUUAUUAAAAAGAGUCCUUAUAUUUUAAAGAUAUGAAUUCAAAUAUUUCUGGAAUAAAUGAUGUCUGAGAUUUGCUUCAAAGUAAUCUGGGAUGAGAAGUGCAUUGGGGGUAUAGAUGUGAGAAGAUUGGCCAUGAAUUGAUAAUUGUUAAGCUGGGUGAUG
This 789-nucleotide long non-coding RNA is filed under the name Equus asinus (donkey). RNAcentral's name for it is "lncRNA (ENSEASG00005032150.1)". The record is from RNAcentral. Lineage: Eukaryota; Metazoa; Chordata; Mammalia; Perissodactyla; Equidae.